This 377-nucleotide ribosomal RNA is filed under the name uncultured bacterium. RNAcentral describes it as "bacterial SSU rRNA". It matches the Rfam family "Bacterial small subunit ribosomal RNA", at positions 521 to 896 of the family's 1533-position model. The record is from RNAcentral.
UAAUACGUAGGGUCCGAGCGUUGUCCGGAGUUACUGGGCGUAAAGCGCGCGCAGGCGGCGGUAUAAGCAUGGCGUGAAAGCCCCAGGCUCAACCUGGGAGGGUCGUCGUGGACUGUACCGCUUGAGGGCGAUAGGGGCUGGUGGAAUGCCUGGUGUAGUGGUGAAAUGCGUAGAGAUCAGGCGGAACACCCGUGGCGAAGGCGGCCAGCUGGGUCGUCCCUGACGCUGAGGCGCGAAGGCGUGGGGAGCGAACGGGAUUAGAUACCCCGGUAGUCCACGCAGUAAACGAUGCAGACUAGGCGUGGGGGGAGUUGACCCCCUCCGUGCCGGAGCUAACGCGGGAAGUCUGCCGCCUGGGGAGUACGGCCGCAAGGCUA